Molecule: ribosomal RNA, 260 nt
Filed under: uncultured soil bacterium
Lineage: Bacteria
Description: partial 16S ribosomal RNA
Rfam family: Bacterial small subunit ribosomal RNA
Source: RNAcentral
AGAUUGAACGCUGGCGGCAGGCCUAACACAUGCAAGUCGAGCGGUAGAGAGGUGCUUGCACCUCUUGAGAGCGGCGGACGGGUGAGUAAUGCCUAGGAAUCUGCCUAGUGGUGGGGGAUAACGUUCGGAAACGGACGCUAAUACCGCAUACGUCCUACGGGAGAAAGCGGGGGACCUUCGGGCCUCGCGCCAUUAGAUGAGCCUAGGUCGGAUUAGCUAGUUGGUGAGGUAAUGGCUCACCAAGGCGACGAUCCGUAACU